CAACGAUUAAAACCCUACGUGAUCUGAGUUCAGACCGGAGUAAUCCAGGUCAGUUUCUAUCUAUAAAGAGCUUUCUCUAGUACGAAAGGACCGAGAAAGCACGGCCCCUAUAACAUAUAAGCCCUAGCUAACAACUUAUGAUUUAUACUCAAUAAUAACUUAGCCUAACACGUACCUCAAGACAAGAGUA
Molecule: ribosomal RNA, 190 nt
Filed under: Espadarana audax (Napo giant glass frog)
Lineage: Eukaryota; Metazoa; Chordata; Amphibia; Anura; Centrolenidae
Description: Centrolene audax (Napo giant glass frog) partial 16S ribosomal RNA
Source: RNAcentral